This 402-nucleotide unclassified non-coding RNA is filed under the name soil metagenome. RNAcentral describes it as "partial contains 5.8S ribosomal RNA, internal transcribed spacer 2, and large subunit ribosomal RNA". The stretch from base 1 to 121 matches the Rfam family "5.8S ribosomal RNA", at positions 35 to 154 of the family's 154-position model. The record is from RNAcentral.
GAUGAAGAACGUAGCGAAAUGCGAUAAGUAAUGUGAAUUGCAGAAUUCAGUGAAUCAUCGAAUCUUUGAACGCACCUUGCACCCUUUGGCUAUUCCGAAGGGUAUGCCUGUUUGAGUAUCAUGAACACCUCAACUCUCAUGGUUUGCCAUGAUGAGCUUGGACUUUGGGGGUCUUGCUGGCCUGUGGUCAGCUCCUCUCAAAUGGAUUAGCUUGCCAGUGUUUGGUGGCAUCACAGGUGUGAUAACUAUCUACGCUUGUGGUUUUCCACCAGGUAACCUUCAGCAAUGGGGGUUCGCUGGGGCUCAUAAAUGUCUCUCCUCCGUGAGGACAGCUCUUUGAACGUUUGAUCUCAAAUCAGGUAGGACUACCCGCUGAACUUAAGCAUAUCAAUAAGCGGAGGA